Long non-coding RNA from Gorilla gorilla gorilla (western lowland gorilla), 2924 nucleotides. RefSeq lists it as uncharacterized. The transcript has 4 exons. Lineage: Eukaryota; Metazoa; Chordata; Mammalia; Primates; Hominidae. The record is from RefSeq and is a predicted model, not a curated record.
UUUCUGACUGCCCUUAACAUUUUUUCCUUCAUUUCAACCUUGGUGAAUCUGAUUAUAUGUCUUGGGGUUGCUCUUCUCGAGGAAUAUCUUUGUGGCGUUCUCUGUAUUUCCUGAAUUUGAAUGUUGGCCUGUCUUGCUAGACUGGGGAAGUUCUCCUGGAUAGUAUCCUGAAGAGUGUUUUCCAACUUGGUUCCAUUCUCCCUGUCACUAUGAGGCACACCAAUCAAACAUAAGUUUGGUCUUUCCACAUAGUCCCAUAUUUCUUGGAGUCUUUGUUUGUUCCUUUUCAUUCUUUUUCUCUAAUCUCAUUUUCACACUUUAUUUCAUUAAGUUGAUCUUCAAUGUCUGACAUCCUUUCUUCCACUUGAUCAGUUCAGCUAUUGAUACUUGUAUAUGCUUCAUGAAGUUUUUCAUGAGUUUUUCAGCUCCAUCAGGUCAUUUAUGUUCUUCUCCAAACUGGUUAUUCUAGUUAGCAAUUCCUUUAACCUUUUUUCAAGGUUCUUAGCUUCUUUGCAUUGGGUUAGAACACAUUCCUUUAGCUCAGAGGAGUUUGUUAUUACCCACCUUCUGAAGCCUACUUCUGUCAAACUCAUUCUCCAUCCAGUUUUGUUCCCUUGCUGGUGAGGAGUUGUGAUCCUUUAGAGGUGAAGAGGCAUUCUGGCUUUUGGAGUUUUCAGCCUUUUUGUACUGGUUUUUCCUCAUCUUCAUGGCUUUAUCUACCUUUGUUCUUUGAUGUUGGUGACCUUUGGAUGGGGUUUUUGUGUGGGCAUUCUUUUUGUUGAUGUUGAUGCUAUUCCAUUCUGUUAGUUUUCCUUCUAACAGUCAGGCCCCUUUGCUGCAGGUCUGCUGGAGUUUGCUGGAGGUCCACUCCAGACCCUGUCUGGGUAUCACUAGUGGAGGCUGCAGAACAGGAAAGAUUGUUGGCUGUUCCUUCUUCUGGAAGCUUCAUCCCAGAGGGGCACCCUCCAGAUGCCAGCCAGAGCUCUCUUGUAUGAGGUGUCUGUCGAUCCGUGCUGGGAGGUGUCUCCCAGUCAGGAGGCAUGGGGGUCAGGGACCCACUUUAGGAGGCAGUCUGACCCUUAGCAGAGCUUGAGCACUGUGCUGGGAGAUCUGCUGCUCUUUUCAGAGCUGGCAGGCAGGAAGGUUUGUCUGCUGAAGCUGAGCCCAUAGCCAACCCUUCUCCCAGGUGCUCUGUCCCAGGGAGAUGGAAGUUUUAUCUAUAAGCCCCUGACUGGGGCUACUGCCUUUCUUUCAGAGAUGCCCUGCCCAGAGAGGAGGAAUCUAGAGAGGCAGUCUGGCUACAGUGGCUUUGCUGAGCUCUGGUGGGCUCUGCCAAGUUCAGUGGCUUUGUUUACUUCCUGGUGGCUUUGUUUACACUGUGAGGGGAAAACCACCUGCUCAGGCCUUAGUAAUGGCAGACACCCCUCCCCCUACCAAGCUCGAGCAUCCCAGGUGGACUUCAGACUGCUAUGCUGGCAGUGAGAAUUUCAAGCCAGUGGAUCUUAGCUUGCUGGGCUUCAUGGGGGUGGGAUCCGUGGAGCUAGACCACUUGGCUCCCUGGCUUCAGCCCCUUUCCAGGGUAGUCAACAUUUCUGUCUCACUGGCAUUCCAGGUGCCACUGGGGUAUGAAAAAAAAAUCCUGCAGCUAGUUUAGUGUCUGCCCAAACAGCUGCUCGGUUUUGUGCUUGAAACCCAGGGCCCUGGUGGUAUAGGCACCCAAGGGAAUCUCCUGGUCUGCGCGUUGCCAAUACUGUGGGAAAAGCAUAGCAUCUGGGCCAGAAUGCAUCAUUCCUCACAUCAUAGUCUCUCACAGCUUCCCUUGGCUAGGGGAGGGAGUUCCCUGACCCCUUGUGCUUCCCAGGUGAGGAGAUGCCCCAUCGUGCUUUGGCUUGCCUUCUGUGGGCUGCGCCCAACUGUCUAACCAGUCCCAAUGAGAUGAGCUGGGUACCUCAGUUGGAAAUGCAGAAAUCACCCACUUUCUGCAGGGAUCUCACUGGGAGCUACAGACCAGAGCUAUUCCUAUUCAGCCAUCUUGACAGCCAGCAAGAAGUAACCAACUUUCUUAGUCAAUUUUGGCUUUAAUAGUGACUGUCCUAAGAUUUUUUUGUCACUCACAGACAAUUGUCUUGUUUUGAUCCUCUUUAAAAUGUGGUUUAUAAUCAGCUAUAGGACUUUGACAGAUGUUCCUGAAUGCAGGUUUCUGAUAACUUUGGAGACUGUGACAUUAAAAUAGGGAAAAAAAACUUUUAGAACUCUCCUGGAGAGCUGAAAUGUUCAUGAAUAUCAAACAGAAUAAGAGGUAACUGCAUGGACUGAUCUAAUAGAAAACUGAAGUAAUCUUUUUGAAAAUUUUUGCUUGAAAUGCUGAGGAUCCUUUGUUUUGUUUUCCAGAGUCAAGGAAACUUUUCUUUUGAGCUAUAUACAGCUUUCAACAAUUGAGAAAGGAUGCAAUUGGAGAAACUGCUUAAUUUACCAAGGCUUUGACUGGAAUGGCAUGCUUUCCUUUUAAGAAUCAAAGUUGACUUAUAGAGCCAAUAAAAGCCCCUUGGAAAAUUGGCCUCAUACAUUGUCUGCAUAGUCCCUGUACAGGGUUUCCAACCUGUGGUCCCUUUAAUUAACUCAGACCUGGAUGACAUAAAAUGAAGUUUCUGAAGAAGUUCAGGUCAAAGGUUCCUGAAACACAAGGCUCAGUGUGUACCCUGGAUGGGAAAAUGAACUGGUGUUGACAUAUAUGCAUGCCCAGGAGGAAGACUGGGAAAGACUUAAUGAGUUGGGGUAUGCGGAGAAACAAUGAAAUAUUGAAAACUGCCUAUAUAAAAAUCACUGUUGGGCAUAUGCAUUAAAAAACAAUAUGUUAUUGCAAAUUUAACACUAAAAUUAUUUUCCCAAACAGAAGAUAUUGUCUAAGGAAGAAUAAAAUGCUG